This 120-nucleotide non-coding RNA is filed under the name Hathewaya proteolytica. Its description in RNAcentral is "Clostridium proteolyticum SAM-I sequence". It matches the Rfam family "SAM riboswitch aptamer (S box leader)". From Rfam's summary of the family: The SAM riboswitch is found upstream of a number of genes which code for proteins involved in methionine or cysteine biosynthesis in Gram-positive bacteria. The SAM riboswitch acts at the level of transcription termination control. Lineage: Bacteria; Bacillati; Bacillota; Clostridia; Eubacteriales; Clostridiaceae. RNAcentral also lists the same sequence under 1 other name. The record is from RNAcentral.
CUCUUAUCAAGAGAGGUGGAGGGACAGGGCCCUAUGAAACCCGGCAACCCGUAUAUGUCACUAACAAUGUCAUAUUCAAUGGUGCCAAUUCCGCAGAUAUUAGUAUUUGCAAGAUAAGAG